RNAcentral lists this ribosomal RNA (876 nucleotides) under Cellulomonas sp. SC8. RNAcentral describes it as "bacterial SSU rRNA". It matches the Rfam family "Bacterial small subunit ribosomal RNA", at positions 115 to 1001 of the family's 1533-position model. Lineage: Bacteria; Bacillati; Actinomycetota; Actinomycetes; Micrococcales; Cellulomonadaceae. The record is from RNAcentral.
ACGUGAGUAACCUGCCCCUGACUCUGGGAUAAGCCUUGGAAACGGGGUCUAAUACUGGAUACGAGCCGCUCGGGCAUCCGAAGUGUCUGGAAAGAUUUAUCGGUCAGAGAUGGACUCGCGGCCUAUCAGCUUGUUGGUGGGGUAACGGCCUACCAAGGCGACGACGGGUAGCCGGCCUGAGAGGGCGACCGGCCACACUGGGACUGAGACACGGCCCAGACUCCUACGGGAGGCAGCAGUGGGGAAUAUUGCACAAUGGGCGCAAGCCUGAUGCAGCGACGCCGCGUGAGGGAUGACGGCCUUCGGGUUGUAAACCUCUUUCAGCAGGGAAGAAGCGAAAGUGACGGUACCUGCAGAAGAAGCGCCGGCUAACUACGUGCCAGCAGCCGCGGUAAUACGUAGGGCGCAAGCGUUGUCCGGAAUUAUUGGGCGUAAAGAGCUCGUAGGCGGUUUGUCGCGUCUGGUGUGAAAACUCAAGGCUCAACCUUGAGCUUGCAUCGGGUACGGGCAGACUAGAGUGCGGUAGGGGAGACUGGAAUUCCUGGUGUAGCGGUGGAAUGCNNAGAUAUCAGGAGGAACACCGAUGGCGAAGGCAGGUCUCUGGGCCGCAACUGACGCUGAGGAGCGAAAGCAUGGGGAGCGAACAGGAUUAGAUACCCUGGUAGUCCAUGCCGUAAACGUUGGGCACUAGGUGUGGGGCUCAUUCCACGAGUUCCGUGCCGCAGCAAACGCAUUAAGUGCCCCGCCUGGGGAGUACGGCCGCAAGGCUAAAACUCAAAGAAAUUGACGGGGGCCCGCACAAGCGGCGGAGCAUGCGGAUUAAUUCGAUGCAACGCGAAGAACCUUACCAAGGCUUGACAUACACCGGAAACUUCC